RNAcentral lists this transfer RNA (90 nucleotides) under Parcubacteria bacterium SG8_24. Its description in RNAcentral is "tRNA-Ser". It matches the Rfam family "tRNA". Rfam says of the family: Transfer RNA (tRNA) molecules are approximately 80 nucleotides in length. Their secondary structure includes four short double-helical elements and three loops (D, anti-codon, and T loops). Lineage: Bacteria; Candidatus Parcubacteria. RNAcentral also lists the same sequence under 1 other name. The record is from RNAcentral.
GGAGAGGUGCCUGAGCGGUCGAAAGGGACGGUCUCGAAAACCGUUGGGCCCGUCAGGGUCCCGUGGGUUCGAAUCCCACCCUCUCCGCCA